RNAcentral lists this ribosomal RNA (405 nucleotides) under uncultured bacterium. RNAcentral describes it as "partial 16S ribosomal RNA". It matches the Rfam family "Bacterial small subunit ribosomal RNA", at positions 28 to 526 of the family's 1533-position model. The record is from RNAcentral.
GAUGAACGCUGGCGGCGUGCCUAAUACAUGCAAGUCGAGCGAAGCGGGGACGGGUGAGUAAAACGUGGAUUACCUCCUAUAACACUAGGAUAACUUCGGGAAACCGGAGCUAAACCCGAUACAUAUGGUUUGAUGCGCGCUGCAUUAGCUAUUUGGUAAGGUAACGGCUAACCAAGGCAACGAUGCAUACCGGACCGGAGCGGGGUAUGGGCCACACGGGAACUGAGACACGGUCGAGACGCCUACGGGAGGCAGCAGUAGGAAAUCUGCCGCAAUGGGCGAAAGCCUGACGGAGAAACGCCGCGUGGUUGAUGAAGGGCUUCGGAUCGUAAAACUCUGUUAUUAGGGAAGCGGUACCUAAACAGAAAGCCACGGCUAACUACGUGCCAGCAGCCGCGGUAAUAC